This 329-nucleotide ribosomal RNA is filed under the name uncultured eukaryote. RNAcentral's name for it is "partial 18S ribosomal RNA". It matches the Rfam family "Eukaryotic small subunit ribosomal RNA", at positions 1470 to 1796 of the family's 1831-position model. The record is from RNAcentral.
CACUUAGAUGUCCUGGGCCGCACGCGCGCUACACUGAGUGUCUGAGAUACGAGUCUGCCUGGUCCGGCAAGGUCUAGGUAAUCGCUAAAAGACACAUCAUGCUUGGGAUAGAUUAUUGCAAAUAUUAAUCUUGAACGAGGAAUUCCUAGUAAGCGCAAGUCAACAGCUUGCGUUGAUUACGUCCCUGCCCUUUGUACACACCGCCCGUCGCUACUACUGAUUGGAUGUUUAAGCGAGGUUCUCGAACUGCUAGCGACUUAGCUUCGGUGAGGUCGCAGUGUGGGAAGUGAACCUAGCUUUGGUGUCUAGAGGAAGUAAAAGUCGUAACA